CCCAAAAUAAAUAAACGUUGAAAAAACAAUUAAAAAAAAAAAAAAGAACAAACCUCAUGAAUAUUUGUAUAAAAACAAAACGAUCCAGAACUCAAUAGAGUAAAAUUCAUGACUGGCAAAAACAAAAAACAAACAAAAACACCCCCCAAACCAUUAUACCCUUGCAAAGCAAUAAUAAAAUAUAAGCCACAUUGAGGAGAAAAAAAACCCAAUAAAUUGAAACUGGACUAGAACUAAUAAAAUGUUAAAAUAAACAAAUGAGGACAUUGAUACUGCUAGUACAACUAUAUUACAUAUGUUCAAAGAGUUGAGGAGAGGCAUGGAAGAUAUAAAUCCACCCAAUUUGAACUUCUAAACAUAAAAAGUUUGAUGUGUGAGAUGAAAAAAAAAAUCUGAAUGCGAUUAAGCAAGUUAGGAGACAUUAAAAAGGAAAUAUUUUAGAAUGGUUAAACUUGAAAAUGUUGACCACACCAAAUGUUGAUAACGAAGUAGAGAAACUGGAUAUCUCGUGAACUGCUUAUGGGAAUGUCCAAUAAUAUAACUACUUUGAGAGAUUGACAGUUUCUUAAUCUGUUUAACAUAUGUGUGCAAUAUAAUCUAGUCACUCCACUCCUUAGCAUUUUCCCAAAGAAAAUGAAAGCCUACAUCCCUAUAAAGAAUUGGGCAUAAGUUCACACAAUAGCUUUAUUUGUAAUAUUCCACUAAAAAGACCAAAAUGCCUAUCAACAGGUUAAUGGGUUGGCAAACUUUGGUAUGUCCAUGUAAUGGAUACUUGUCAGCAAGAAAAAGGAACGAACUAUUGAUAUAUGCUACAAAAUGGAUGAAUAUUAACAUCGUUAUGCUGAGUGGUAGAAUCGAGACAAGAAAGCAUAUAUACAGUAUGAUUCCAGUUAUAUAAAAUUCUAGAACAUAAAAACUAAUCUAUAGUGACAGAAAGCCUAUUAGUUGUUGCUUCGAGAAGGGGGAGGAGGGACAGAGAAGUUUGAGUGGGAAUGACUGCAAGGAUCCGUUGGUGGGUAUUGAUAUACUCAUGAUCUUGAUUGCGGUGAUGGUUCACGGUAGGUACACAUGAAAACUAAUCAAAUUGUAUACUUUUAAUAUGUGCAGUAUAUUGUGUGGUGUUAAAAAAAAAGAGGAACCUGGAGAACAAAGGUUUCACAGGGAGUCAUAGGUAGAACUAUUAAAGUCAUAUUUCCUUUUUCUAUAAUGCAUUUCCUUUAUUCUUAAAAGUAUUUGGAAACAACAUUGAUUAUUAGAUGUAGUGUCAUGUGUAAAUGCAAUCCAUAGUAAUUUACAGUUCUGUCCUACUUCUUCCAAAAUCAAAGAAGCACAACUGCAACUGUUAUUCACACGGAUGUUGAAAGGCUGGGAGUCCACAUGUUGAUGGAGCCACCAUAGCCAUGGUUACAAUACUGCUUAUUGUGGACUCCAUAACAACAAAGGAUGUGCAAUGAAAAUUCACUAGUCUAUACAGUAAUAUUCACUUCACACAGUGUUUGGAGUUUCUCACAUUUUAUCUUAGAGCCACCUGCAAGCUCAUUAAACACAGAUAUCUGGGACCCAUUACCAGUUUCUGACUGAGUAGGUCUGGUAGGGGGCUGAAAAUUUUACAUCUCUACCAAAUUUACAGAUGAUGCUGAUGAAGUUGCUCGAGGGACCACACUUUAAGAAUCACUAAGAUAAAUGCCCUAGACAAAAAGACAAGGAAUCCCUUCAUGCAGUUGAAUUUAAUUAUUCAUUUGGGUUUGGAUUUAAAUAUGUCCAGGUGGCAGAGAGCAAGCAAGCAUCUGAGCAGCCCAGUGGAAAUACCCCUGUCAGAUGCUCAUCCGUCCUUUCCUGUUUCCUGGAUCCAUUUAGCUCACCACAAACCUAUUUUGUAGGUGUAGGAGUCACACACAGAUUUUUCUACUUUUCAAAUUUAAAAUGUUUAAUGGUAGUCAGUUGAAUCCUCGCAGAACCAAUGAAGAUCAUUGUCCACUUGUAAGUUCAACAAGGUGUUUAAACGCCUGUCCUAUGUCACACUCUGUGUUAGGUACUUGAUAUUCAGUGGUGAGCAAGUUGGGCACGGUUACCUCUUGGAAAUUCCUGUCUAUUGGAAAAAUUGUCAUUAUAUCAAUAAUCAUCCAAAUAAAAGAGCACAAUUAUGACAAAUGUACAGGAGAGCUGUAAAUAUUAUUGACGAUCAGUACAAAAAUAAUGUUCCUGAGAAGACAAUGCAUGUAAUUCUAUAACUUGAUUGCAUCUGUAUCUGCCUCCAAUUCUAAGGAUAAUUUCUGAUAUAGUUUGCACUGGACAAUUCUAGUAGACAAUUUUAAAGUGUAUGGCACUCCACCUCCCAUUUACAUUUUCAUUGCCUUUGGUUUUAUCCCUGAAUUUGUAUCUUCUUUGUCUUAUAAGUUGAUUUAACUUCUACCUUUUAUUACUUUUAUAUUUUUAGAAGUUAUGGUGUCAGUUUAUUUAAUGUUUAUCUUUUCUUUGACUGAUUUCAUCUCAACCAAAAUAGAUCUCUUGUUUAAUUUGUUAUUGUACUUUUGGAAGAGAAUCAGAUUUUCUGAGCUUCACUAAAUUACUUCUUUUACAAGACAAAUGAUUCACAGGAGACCUGAAUAGUUCAUGAAAACAAAAGGAAGGCAAAUCUCCUUAUUGACCAAAAAUUACACUAACAACUCAACAGACGAACUUCAACAGAUGAUGAGCAAAGCUGCUAAUUAGUAAACUGCGGAGUUUAAAAAAUAGAGGGGACUAUAAAUUAAACAUUGAGCUACAUUCCUGACUUUGUACAUGACCAUGAGAAUGUCAACUCUCAACUAUCCUCAGACUUUCAUCUAAACAAGAAGAAACACGUGAACUACAAUGGUAAAUAUGAGGAACAAAGACUGAUGGAAGAGGAAGCAAAAAGGCAAUGGAGGAAAUAUUUUAGGAAAUUAUGGUAGAAAAAGUAGAAAAGAGGAGAGGUAGAAAGGAAUUAUUCAAGAAAAUAUAAAAGGGAAAGAGUCAGUAUUAGACAUUCAGAUUCAACAGAUAUUUUUGAACCUCUGUGGGCUUGCCUGUGUGCUGGGCUCUGAACAAAAUGAAAAAGGCCUCUGCUUCCAAGGAACUUAUAUUGUAGUUGUUGUGUAUCAGUUAAGAUUAGGUGGUCUGUAUGAAAAAAAUGUGUGAAAAGAUUUUAAAAGUCAUAUUGUUUUUCUUUAACCCAAAAUAAAACUGAACUUAACCCAGUGUUGGUUAAAUUCUACCCUGAAGGCAAUCACUGUUCAAAACAGCUGCUGUGGCCCCAGCUUCCCCAUCCAUUACCAGACAGCAAAAAAGGGGAAGAGAAAAUAAAGCAAAAGGGAAAUAUUAUCCCUUAAGGAACCAACCAUACUAGGAGUCUCUUCCCAAAACUUUUAACUUCUAACUCAUUAGUCAGGGUUUAGUCAUGUGGAAACCUUUAGCAUAUAUGGAAGAGUGGGAAAUAAAAUAUUUUUGUUGGGCAUAUCACUGCUCCAAAUAAUACUCGUUGUUUGCUCCUAAAGCAGAAAGCAAGAAUGGAUAUCAUGUAGGGAUCCAGUUGGCUCUGCCAUGGAUAGAAAUGUGAACAAUGUGAUCUUUGAUUAUUAUUUUAUAUUUAUUUGCUUCUUAUGGUCUUCAAACCAUGGAUAUAUUCAUAAUGAUAAAAAAGAGAGACUUAUGUUGCCUGAGUCUAUUUUCUCCGAGUUGGCCCUAUCAGUUAUUGUUCAUCUAAAUCUACUUUUCCUUUUUUCCAUUCCCUAAGAGCUUACUUGUUUUUAGUGGAACUGGGAAAAUUGUUUAAACUCCAACGUGACUCACAGAACUACUUGCAGAUGUUGCCUUUGAACAUUUGGAGACUAAUGAGAGCUGCACACUAAUCUCAUUAGAUUAUUCACAAAUAAAAACAAUAAUUUUAUAUUCUUAAUAGUUUAAGAUCCAGAGAUUUGGCACAAGACACUGCCAAUUCAACCCUAUUUCCAGUUACUCAUACUGAGGACAUAUCUAAAUAAGUUCCAGAAGCACCUUAAAGUUUCAAUCCCAUUAUAAUUCCUGUGGCUAAUUACUGGUGGCAGAAGGACUGAGUUUCUCUUUCACAUAUUAGUUUUGGAAAGUUAAACUCUGUUAGAGUACUAAUAAGGAGUAUGCUGAUUGGUUCUCAGCUCCUACUUCCCUCUCUCACACUAUUAGAAAAUAAACGAAUGGUUAAAUCUUUCUCUGAAUCAAUCAUGCAAUUUCCUGAGCACAGGAGCUUUACAAUUUGCAGUAUGCUUUUCCCUGUAGUAUCUCACUUUAUUCUCAUACUUUCCCUGUAAAGUAUAACAAUUUGCAGUUAUUACGCACAUUGUACCGUAUCUGAGGGUCUGAGGAGUGACCUGAAUUGUUCAAAUCACUGGGCCUGUAAAAUUUGAACUAUGACCGAUUAAAAAACAUUUUUUCACUAUAA
Molecule: long non-coding RNA, 4435 nt
Organism: Prionailurus viverrinus (fishing cat)
Lineage: Eukaryota; Metazoa; Chordata; Mammalia; Carnivora; Felidae
Exons: 4
Source: RefSeq, a predicted model, not a curated record